Molecule: ribosomal RNA, 492 nt
Filed under: uncultured bacterium
Lineage: Bacteria
Description: partial 16S ribosomal RNA
Rfam family: Bacterial small subunit ribosomal RNA
Source: RNAcentral
GAUGAACGCUAGCUACAGGCUUAACACAUGCAAGUCGAGGGGAAACGACAUCGAAAGCUUGCUUUUGAUGGGCGUCGACCGGCGCACGGGUGAGUAACGCGUAUCCAACCUGCCCACCACUUGGGGAUAACCUUGCGAAAGUAAGACUAAUACCCGAUGAUAUCUCUAUAAGACAUCUGAAAGGGAUUAAAGAUUUAUCGGUGAUGGAUGGGGAUGCGUCUGAUCAGCUUGUUGGCGGGGUAACGGCCCACCAAGGCGACGAUCAGUAGGGGUUCUGAGAGGAAGGUCCCCCACAUUGGAACUGAGACACGGUCCAAACUCCUACGGGAGGCAGCAGUGAGGAAUAUUGGUCAAUGGGCGAGAGCCUGAACCAGCCAAGUAGCGUGCAGGAUGACGGCCCUAUGGGUUGUAAACUGCUUUUAUAAGGGAAUAAAGUGGGUCUCGUGAGACUUUUUGCAUGUACCUUAUGAAUAAGGACCGGCUAAUUCCGUG